This 247-nucleotide unclassified non-coding RNA is filed under the name uncultured Pleosporales. Its description in RNAcentral is "sequence contains 5.8S rRNA gene". The stretch from base 1 to 53 matches the Rfam family "5.8S ribosomal RNA", at positions 102 to 154 of the family's 154-position model. The record is from RNAcentral. Lineage: Eukaryota; Fungi; Ascomycota; Dothideomycetes; Pleosporales.
GAACGCACAUUGCGCCCCAUGGUAUUCCGUGGGGCAUGCCUGUUCGAGCGUCAUCUACACCCUCAAGCACUGCUUGGUGUUGGGCGUCUGUCCCGCCUUUGCGCGUGGACUCGCCCCAAAGUCAUUGGCAGCGGUCUCUGGCACCUCAACGCGCAGUACAAUGCGUUCAUUGGGGUGCCGUGGGCGCGACCAUAAAGCUAUUUACCGUCUUUGACCUCGGAUCAGGUAGGGAUACCCGCUGAACUUA